ACACGCAGUACGGCGCUGUUGGCUUGGCAGAAGCGCAUACACACAUUCACGCAGUAGGCUUUACUUUCAGUCCAGUGAGGUUGGUGCUUGUGUGGUGUUGCAGCUCUUGGUGGUCAGCGGAUAAACCCCGUAAAAAUGGAGAUCAUUCUAAUUUAAGUGUUUCACGGCGAACGGAGACAACAAAACCUGUGGCUGUGUCGUAGUGUUCGAAAUGGUGGCCCGUACAGUGUAACGAAAGGAACUAGGCGCAACAGCGAGGAAGAGCUGAAUGUGUUGUGACGAUUUUGUGAUUUUAUUCACUGUGCGAGUGUGGAAAGUGUGUGUUGAAUUGCGUUGAAUGUGCGUUAAUGUGAAAUUAAGUUCAGUGUUCGCAGUGCAUAUGUUUUUGAUUUUUGUGAAACUUGUUAGAUUAAUGUUAUUAAAUUCAAUAAAUAGAAUUGUUGUGAUAUAA
This is a long non-coding RNA of Anopheles arabiensis, 451 nucleotides long. RefSeq lists it as uncharacterized. The record is from RefSeq and is a predicted model, not a curated record. The transcript is spliced from 2 exons. NCBI's taxonomy places the organism in Eukaryota, Metazoa, Arthropoda, Insecta, Diptera, Culicidae.